GAGAAUGCCGGUGUGAGUAGCGAAAGACGGGUGAGAAUCCCGUCCACCGAUUGACUAAGGUUUCCAGAGGAAGGCUCGUCCGCUCUGGGUUAGUCGGGUCCUAAGCUGAGGCCGACAGGCGUAGGCGAUGGAUAACAGGUUGAUAUUCCUGUACCACCUAUAAUCGUUUUAAUCGAUGGGGGGACGCAGUAGGAUAGGCGAAGCGUGCGAUUGGAUUGCACGUCUAAGCAGUAAGGCUGAGUAUUAGGCAAAUCCGGUACUCGUUAAGGCUGAGCUGUGAUGGGGAGAAGACAUUGUGUCUUCGAGUCGUUGAUUUCACACUGCCGAGAAAAGCCUCUAGAUAGAAAAUAGGUGCCCGUACCGCAAACCGACACAGGUAGUCAAGAUGAGAAUUCUAAGGUGAGCGAGCGAACUCUCGUUAAGGAACUCGGCAAAAUGACCCCGUAACUUCGGGAGAAGGGGUGCUCUUUAGGGUUAACGCCCAGAAGAGCCGCAGUGAAUAGGCCCAAGCGACUGUUUAUCAAAAACACAGGUCUCUGCUAAACCGUAAGGUGAUGUAUAGGGGCUGACGCCUGCCCGGUGCUGGAAGGUUAAGAGGAGUGGUUAGCUUCUGCGAAGCUACGAAUCGAAGCCCCAGUAAACGGCGGCCGUAACUAUAACGGUCCUAAGGUAGCGAAAUUCCUUGUCGGGUAAGUUCCGACCCGCACGAAAGGCGUAACGAUUUGGGCACUGUCUCAACGAGAGACUCGGUGAAAUCAUAGUACCUGUGAAGAUGCAGGUUACCCGCGACAGGACGGAAAGACCCCGUGGAGCUUUACUGUAGCCUGAUAUUGAAAUUCGGCACAGCUUGUACAGGAUAGGUAGGAGCCUUUGAAACGUGAGCG
RNAcentral lists this ribosomal RNA (884 nucleotides) under Staphylococcus aureus. Its description in RNAcentral is "partial 23S ribosomal RNA". It matches the Rfam family "Bacterial large subunit ribosomal RNA", at positions 1290 to 2170 of the family's 2925-position model. The record is from RNAcentral. Lineage: Bacteria; Bacillati; Bacillota; Bacilli; Caryophanales; Staphylococcaceae.